UUUAGACCUGGGACACCAGGUGGGUGAUUCCCCUCUAAUCAGGGCCUGAUUUAGACCUGGGACACCAGGUGGGUGAUUCCCCUCUAAUCAGGGCCUGAUUUAGACCUGGGACACCAGGUGGGUGAUUCCCCUCUAAUCAGGGCCUGAUUUAGACCUGGGACACCAGGUGGGUGAUUCCCCUCUAAUCAGGGCCUGAUUUAGACCUGAGACACCAGGUGGGUGAUUCCCCUCUAAUCAGGGCCUGAUUUAGACCUGGGACACCAGGUGGGUGAUUCCCCUCUAAUCAGGGCCUGAUUUAGACCUGGGACACCAGGUGGGUGAUUCCCCUCUAAUCAGGGCCUGAUUUAGACCUGGGACACCAGGUGGGUGAUUCCCCUCUAAUCAGGGCCUGAUUUAGACCUGGGACACCAGGUGGGUGAUUCCCCUCUAAUCAGGGCCUGAUUUAGACCUGGGACACCAGGUGGGUGAUUCCCCUCUAAUCAGGGCCUGAUUUAGACCUGGGACACCAGGUGGGUGAUUCCCCUCUAAUCAGGGCCUGAUUUAGACCUGGGACACCAGGUGGGUGAUUCCCCUCUAAUCAGGGCCUGAUUUAGACCUGGGACACCAGGUGGGUGAUUCCCCUCUAAUCAGGGCCUGAUUUAGACCUGGGACACCAGGUGGGUGAUUCCCCUCUAAUCAGGGCCUGAUUUAGACCUGGGACACCAGGUGGGUGAUUCCCCUCUAAUCAGGGCCUGAUUUAGACCUGGGACACCAGGUGGGUGAUUCCCCUCUA
Oncorhynchus keta (chum salmon) is the source of this 772-nucleotide long non-coding RNA. RefSeq lists it as uncharacterized. NCBI's taxonomy places the organism in Eukaryota, Metazoa, Chordata, Actinopteri, Salmoniformes, Salmonidae. The transcript has 6 exons. The record is from RefSeq and is a predicted model, not a curated record.